Molecule: ribosomal RNA, 497 nt
Filed under: uncultured bacterium
Lineage: Bacteria
Description: partial 16S ribosomal RNA
Rfam family: Bacterial small subunit ribosomal RNA
Source: RNAcentral
GAUGAACGCUGGCGGCGUGCCUAAUACAUGCAAGUCGAGCGAACCGACGAGGAGCUUGCUCCUCUGACGUUAGCGGCGGACGGGUGAGUAACACGUGGAUAACCUACCUAUAAGACUGGGAUAACUUCGGGAAACCGGAGCUAAUACCGGAUAAUAUCUUGAACCGCUUGGUUCAAUAGUGAAAGACGGUUUUGCUGUCACUUAUAGAUGGAUCAGCACCUCAUUUACUAGUUGUUAAGGUAACAGCUUACAAAGGCAGCGAUGGGUAGCCGACCUGAGAGGGUGAUCGGACACACUGGAACAGAGACACGGUCCAGACUCCGACGGGAGGCAGCAGUAGGGAAUCUUCCGCGAUGGGGGAAAGCCGGACGGAGCAACGCCGCGUGAAGGAUGAAGGUCUUAGGAUCGUAAAGCUCUGUUGUUAGGGAAGAACAAAUGUGUAAGUAACUAUGCACGUCUUGACGGUACCUAAUCAGAAAGCCACGGCUAACUACGUG